UACAGAGGGGGCAAGCGUUGUUCGGAAUUACUGGGCGUAAAGGGCCCGUAGGCGGCCAACUAAGUCCGACGUGAAAUCCCAAGGCUUAACCUUGGAACUGCGUCGGAUACUGGACGGCUUGAAUUCGGGAGAGGGAUGCAGAAUUCCAGGUGUAGCGGUGAAAUGCGUAGAUAUCUGGAGGAACACCGGUGGCGAAGGCGGAUCUCUGGGCCUGUCCUGACGCUCAGGCGCGAAAGCUAGGGGAGCAAACGGG
Molecule: ribosomal RNA, 253 nt
Filed under: uncultured bacterium
Lineage: Bacteria
Description: partial 16S ribosomal RNA
Rfam family: Bacterial small subunit ribosomal RNA
Source: RNAcentral